Mobula hypostoma (lesser devil ray) is the source of this 584-nucleotide long non-coding RNA. RefSeq lists it as uncharacterized. The record is from RefSeq and is a predicted model, not a curated record. The transcript has 3 exons. NCBI's taxonomy places the organism in Eukaryota, Metazoa, Chordata, Chondrichthyes, Myliobatiformes, Myliobatidae.
CCCAGCUCCGGCUUUUGCCAGAGGCCGGGAUCUCAGAGAAGAUGCAGCUGGAGCAAAUCUGCAACUCAGCUGAUUGUCAAAACUGGAAAUAACGUUAAACCAUCUUGAAUCUUGGCUGGUCUCACCACCAGCUGGUAUGGGGGCUCCAAUGCACAGGAAUGGAAGAAGCUACGGAGGACUGCAGACUCAGCCGUCACGGGCACAAUCAAUGCACAUCAAAGUCACCAAAGGGCAGUGUCUCAAGAAGGCAGCAUCCAUGACUGAGGACCCUCACAGUGCCCUCUCCUCCUUAUUACCAUUGGAGAUGCGGUAGAGGAGCCUGAAGACCCACAGCCAACCUUGUUGAAAUAACUUCUUCCCCUCUGUCAGCAGAUUUCUGAACAGUCCAUGAACUCACUAUUCCACUUCUUCAAUACUUAUUUUUUAUUAUUAUCAGUACUGUGCAAAGACAUAAAGUGACAAAUUACGAAAUAAAUCGCGAAAACAAGGGAUAAUGAGGCGGUAUUCACGGACCUUUUGGAAAUCUGACGACGGAAGGACGGCUUGGUAGCACAGUGCUCUACUGCAUCAGUGACCCAGGUUCA